GCCAAGCCGAGUAAUAUUGUACAAAAACAACUAAGGUUGAAAAUUUGAAAAAGAAGAGUACUGUGAAGAUCCUUGCAAAAAUGUCAAUAAUCGUACAAAUGUAAUCUUUUGAUUAGAAGCUUUAUGGAAAGCACGUUUUAAAGCUUGAUGUUAAUUACUACAGAAUCUAGCUCCAAUCUUUAUUUCCUUUAUUUUCUUUUACUCAAUUUUUCCUUUUUAUUUCUUUAUGUUUAUUUUAUUCUAAUGAUAUUGUGUGCACAAUGUCUUAUUUUCUACACUAUGCAGUUACAAGUAUGUGUUGAUACAUUGGCAAUGUUUUGGUAAUG
Pelobates cultripes (western spadefoot toad) is the source of this 326-nucleotide non-coding RNA. The record is from the annotation of a GenBank genome assembly. Lineage: Eukaryota; Metazoa; Chordata; Amphibia; Anura; Pelobatidae.